Molecule: transfer RNA, 67 nt
Filed under: Cryptocephalus cynarae
Lineage: Eukaryota; Metazoa; Arthropoda; Insecta; Coleoptera; Chrysomelidae
Description: tRNA-Thr
Rfam family: tRNA
About the family: Transfer RNA (tRNA) molecules are approximately 80 nucleotides in length.
Source: RNAcentral
ACUUUAAUAAUUUAAUUAUAAAAUAAUGGUCUUGUAAACCAUAAAAAAGCUCUACGCUUUUAAAGUA